RNAcentral lists this ribosomal RNA (497 nucleotides) under uncultured bacterium. RNAcentral's name for it is "partial 16S ribosomal RNA". It matches the Rfam family "Bacterial small subunit ribosomal RNA", at positions 28 to 507 of the family's 1533-position model. The record is from RNAcentral.
GAUGAACGCUGGCGGCGUGCCUAAUACAUGCAAGUCGAGCGAACGGACGAGAAGCUUGCUUCUCUGAUGUUAGCGGCGGACGGGUGAGUAACACGUGGAUAACCUACCUAUAAGACUGGGAUAACUUCGGGAAACCGUAGCUAAUACCGGAUAAUAUUUUGAACCGCAUGGUUCAAAAGUGAAAGACGGUCUUGCUGUCACUUAUAGAUGGAUCCGCGCUGCAUUAGCUAGUUGGAAAGGUAACGGCUUACCAAGGCAACGAUGCAUAGCCGACCUGAGAGGGUGAUCGGCCACACUGGAACUGAGACACGGUCCAGACUCCUACGGGAGGCAGCAGUAGGGAAUCUUCCGCAAUGGGCGAAAGCCUGACGGAGCAACGCCGCGUGAGUGAUGAAGGUCUUCGGAUCGUAAAACUCUGUUAUUAGGGAAGAACAUAUGUGUAAGUAACUGUGCACAUCUUGACGGUACCUAAUCAGAAAGCCACGGCUAACUACGUG